CUACGGGACGCAGCAGUGGGGAAUUUUGCGCAAUGGGCGAAAGCCUGACGCAGCAGCGCCGCGUGAGGGAUGAAGGUUCUCGGAUCGUAAACCUCUUUCAGACGGGAAGAACACAAUGACGGUACCGUCAGAAGAAGCCCCGGCUAACUCCGUGCCAGCAGCCGCGGUAAUACGGAGGGGGCAAGCGUUGUUCGGAAUCAUUGGGCGUAAAGCGUAUGUAGGCGGCCAGAUAAGUCAGACGUGUAAGCCCACGGCUCAACCGUGGAAUUGCGUUUGAAACUGUCUGGCUUGAGUACGGGAGAGGAAAGCGGAAUUCCCAGUGUAGCGGUGAAAUGCAUUGAUAUUGGGAAGAACAUCGGUGGCGAAGGCGGCUUUCUGGCCCGAUACUGACGCUGAGAUACGAAAGCCAGGGGAGCAAACGGGAUUAGAUACCCCCGUAGUC
This 442-nucleotide ribosomal RNA is filed under the name uncultured bacterium. Its description in RNAcentral is "partial 16S ribosomal RNA". It matches the Rfam family "Bacterial small subunit ribosomal RNA", at positions 339 to 795 of the family's 1533-position model. The record is from RNAcentral.